UGGGGAAUUUUGGACAAUGGGCGCAAGCCUGAUCCAGCAAUGCCGCGUGCAGGAUGAAGGCCUUCGGGUUGUAAACUGCUUUUGUACGGAACGAAAAAGCUCUCUCUAAUACAGGGGGUGAAUGACGGUACCGUAAGAAUAAGCACCGGCUAACUACGUGCCAGCAGCCGCGGUAAUACGUAGGGUGCAAGCGUUAAUCGGAAUUACUGGGCGUAAAGCGUGCGCAGGCGGUUUUGUAAGACAGAGGUGAAAUCCCCGGGCUCAACCUGGGAACUGCCUUUGUGACUGCAAAGCUGGAGUGCGGCAGAGGGGGAUGGAAUUCCGCGUGUAGCAGUGAAAUGCGUAGAUAUGCGGAGGAACACCGAUGGCGAAGGCAGCCCCCUGGGCCGACACUGACGCUCAGGCACGAAAGCGUGGGGAGCAAACA
This 427-nucleotide ribosomal RNA is filed under the name uncultured bacterium. Its description in RNAcentral is "bacterial SSU rRNA". It matches the Rfam family "Bacterial small subunit ribosomal RNA", at positions 355 to 774 of the family's 1533-position model. The record is from RNAcentral.